GGCUAUCUGUGGUGUUGGGUCCUCUUUUAAAAUCUUCUAAUUGAUCACAACCAGUUACAGAUUCCUUUGUUCCUCCUCCACUCCCACUGCUUCACUUGAUCAGCCUUUU
This 109-nucleotide Y RNA is filed under the name Propithecus coquereli (Coquerel's sifaka). RNAcentral's name for it is "Y RNA (ENSPCOG00000007835.1)". It matches the Rfam family "Y RNA". From Rfam's summary of the family: Y RNAs are components of the Ro ribonucleoprotein particle (Ro RNP), in association with Ro60 and La proteins. The Y RNAs and Ro60 and La proteins are well conserved, but the function of the Ro RNP is not known. Lineage: Eukaryota; Metazoa; Chordata; Mammalia; Primates; Indriidae. The record is from Rfam by way of RNAcentral.